AGCAGCCGCGGUAAUUCCAGCUCCAAUAGCGUAUAUUAAAGUUGUUGCAGUUAAAAAGCUCGUAGUUGAAUUUCGGGAUUGACGUGAUGGUCGUGCCUUACGGGGUAUGAACUGUUGCAGUCAAUUUCUCACCUUCUGGAGAAAUAUGAUGUCCUUAAUUGGGUGUCAUAUGGAACCAGAACUUUUACCUUGAAAAAAUUAGAGUGUUUAAAGCAGGCUUAUUGCUCGAAUACAUUAGCAUGGAAUAAUAAAAUAGGACGGCAUGGUUCUAUUUUGUUGGUUUCUAGGAUCACCGUAAUGAUUAAUAGGGAUAGUUGGGGGCAUUAGUAUUCAAUUGUCAGAGGUGAAAUUCUUGGAUUUAUUGAAGACUAACUACUGCGAAAGCAUUUGCCAAGGAUGUUUUCAUUAAUCAAGAACGAAAGUUAGGGGAUCGAAGACGAUCAGAUACCGUCGUAGUCUUAACCAUAAACUAUGCCGACUAGGAAUCAGACGAUGUUAAUUUUUUAAUGACUCGUUUGGC
This 520-nucleotide unclassified non-coding RNA is filed under the name uncultured Glomus. RNAcentral describes it as "SSU rRNA". It matches the Rfam family "Eukaryotic small subunit ribosomal RNA", at positions 569 to 1084 of the family's 1831-position model. RNAcentral also lists the same sequence under 1 other name. Lineage: Eukaryota; Fungi; Glomeromycota; Glomeromycetes; Glomerales; Glomeraceae. The record is from RNAcentral.